GACGAACGCUGGCGGCGUGCUUAACACAUGCAAGUCGAACGGUGAAGGGACUGGUUUUGCUGGUCCUGGAUGAGUGGCGAACGGGUGAGUAUCACGUGAGUAACCUGCCCCCUUCUUCUGGAUAACCGCAUGAAAGUGUGGCUAAUACGGGAUAUUCUGGGUCUGUCGCAUGGUGGGCCUGGGAAAGAUUGCGCCUUUUUUGGUGUUUUUGGUGGGGGAUGGGCUCGCGGCCUAUCAGCUUGUUGGUGGGGUGAUGGCCUACCAAGGCGGUGACGGGUAGCCGGCCUGAGAGGGUGGACGGUCACACUGGGACUGAGACACGGCCCAGACUCCUACGGGAGGCAGCAGUGGGGAAUAUUGCACGAUGGGCGCAAGCCUGAUGCAGCGACGCCGCGUGAGGGAUGGAGGCCUUCGGGUUGGGAACCUCUUUCGCCAGUGAAGCAGGCCUGCCUCUUUUUGUGGGUGGGUUGACGGUAGCUGGAGAAGAAGCGCCGGCUAACUACGUG
Molecule: ribosomal RNA, 506 nt
Filed under: uncultured bacterium
Lineage: Bacteria
Description: partial 16S ribosomal RNA
Rfam family: Bacterial small subunit ribosomal RNA
Source: RNAcentral